AAACCUUGGCUUAACUUUCCUACUUCAAGUAGGAAUCCUUUGUUGGAGUAGGAAUCCUUGAAUGAGUAGGAAUCCUUCUUCAAUUAGGAAUCCUUUGUUGAUUAGGAAUCCUUCUUGGAUUAGGAAAACUAACUUUCUUCCAAGACUUCAAUUCAUCCAUUCCUUUUGUUCCAAAAGGCUCCAAUUUGCUUCUUUUUGCACACUUUGGCCUUAGAACCUGAAAACACAAAAGUGACUUUAAACACUAAAAUAGCUAAGUAAACACAACUUACAUGCACGAGAACAAGCCAAUUAAGUAGCAUAAAUAUGCUCCUGUCAAAUUCCCCCACACUUAGCUUUUUGCUAGUCCUCGAGCAAAACAAAAAAAGAAAGGAAACAAAACGAAACAAACUAACCAAAACAAACCUAAACCUUCCAACAUUUGCCUCAGGGAUUUCCAAUGCACAUGACAUGUUAAAGAUUGUUAUCCCACAGAUUUGAGUUUUCUUUACUCGUAAGCACAUACUUAAUUAAAGCCAUUACUUACUAGUUCACAAGUAAUCAAUUAAAAACAAUGCUUUGAAUGUAGUAACAUGCCUUAGAGAAUUCCUCAAUUCCUUACAAGAUGUACACUCUAUUUUCACUCAGAUUUUCUAACUCCACACCCUACACUAGUCAUAUGUGAGAAGAUUGAUGUAGAUAUGAAAACGAAUGCUCCAUAUAUGUUUCACAAAGAACGCAAUUCUAGAGUUAAGAAGCAUGUUUAGAUAUGAUCUCAUGAAUGGAAUGCUACUACUUAGAUGCGAGAACCAGUGACACCAUAUGCUCAUACUAAUUCAAACUCUACAAAUUGAAACACAUAACACUCAAGAUAGAAGUUAAGGGUUGUAA
Molecule: long non-coding RNA, 870 nt
Filed under: Malus domestica (apple)
Lineage: Eukaryota; Viridiplantae; Streptophyta; Magnoliopsida; Rosales; Rosaceae
Description: long non-coding RNA (MDOM_LNC020623)
Source: RNAcentral